CGGCGUGCUUAACACAUGCAAGUCGAACGAUGAAGCCUAGCUUGCUAGGUGGAUUAGUGGCGAACGGGUGAGUAAUACGUGAGUAACCUACCUUUAACUCUGGGAUAAGCCCGGGAAACUGGGUCUAAUACCGGAUACGACCAAUCUCCGCAUGGGGUGUUGGUGGAAAGCGUUAUGUAGUGGUUAUAGAUGGGCUCACGGCCUAUCAGCUUGUUGGUGAGGUAACGGCUCACCAAGGCGACGACGGGUAGCCGGCCUGAGAGGGUGACCGGCCACACUGGGACUGAGACACGGCCCAGACUCCUACGGGAGGCAGCAGUGGGGAAUAUUGCACAAUGGGCGCAAGCCUGAUGCAGUGACGCCGCGUGAGGGAUGACGGCCUUCGGGUUGUAAACCUCUGUUAGCAGGGAAGAAGAGAGAUUGACGGUACCUGCAGAGAAAGCGCCGGCUAACUACGUGCCAGCAGCCGCGGU
RNAcentral lists this ribosomal RNA (473 nucleotides) under unidentified oral bacterium SH17. Its description in RNAcentral is "bacterial SSU rRNA". It matches the Rfam family "Bacterial small subunit ribosomal RNA", at positions 40 to 521 of the family's 1533-position model. The record is from RNAcentral.